AACUCCAGAGGCAAAAUCGUGGGCUGAAUCUGAAUCAAUGACUCCAAUUGUAAGUUCCAUUUAUUAUUUUAAUUAUAUAUAUAUAUAUAUAUUUUUUUUAUAACGCAGCAAUUUAUCGAAGCGACGGUCAACAAGACUUUCGGCAAAAAUAAGAAGAAUCGAAUAAUUGGAAUCGGAGAAGCUGCAAGUAUGGUGAGCACAACAAACGAAAGAUGGGCUGCUCCAAAUUGGAAAGGAAAAGACCCGAUCUCAGAGAGCACGACUGUUGAUGCACGACUGAUGCAGUAUGGUCGGAAAAAUUCAAAGCAUUGGAGGUAUUUACAAUAUAUUUGAAUAAUUUUGUUGAUUACCGAACUCAUUGUUGUUUUCAUUUUCAGAACAAGUGUAACGAGAGUCAAAAAGACGUCUCGAAAUACAAGAAAAAGUUCAAUGCUAUGAAAUCCUAUAUGAAGAAAUUGAACAAGACUUUGAAGACUUCUGGACUAGACAUGACGCAGAUGGCUUCUACUUCAAAGUCAACAAUACCGUCUGCAUUCGGAUCAGAUAAUUCUGAUUCUGAUUCAGAAGACUCGCUUUCAGACGAGUG
This 586-nucleotide long non-coding RNA is filed under the name Zostera marina. RNAcentral describes it as "long non-coding RNA (ZMAR_LNC003796)". The record is from RNAcentral. Lineage: Eukaryota; Viridiplantae; Streptophyta; Magnoliopsida; Alismatales; Zosteraceae.